Non-coding RNA from Misgurnus anguillicaudatus (oriental weatherfish), 962 nucleotides. The record is from RefSeq and is a predicted model, not a curated record. NCBI's taxonomy places the organism in Eukaryota, Metazoa, Chordata, Actinopteri, Cypriniformes, Cobitidae.
UUCACGUUUUGUGACUGAAGUGUAAACUAAAGAUUACACAAUAAUUGCAGACCUACACAACUAAUUUACAAACCUACACAACUCAUUCACAAACCUUUUUGUGUCAAUAGGCUGUGGUCAAAUAAAGAGAGAGUCAACAAAUAGGCUAUUAAUAUUUAGUGUAUGAUUUAUUUCCUGUGAGCUUUUUUAUGCAAGUUUGUACAUUAGCAUGAAACUUACAGUGCAGUUUGCGUUUUUGGUGAAUUACCAGGUGUUUUCUUUAUUUUGUACAUUCUAAAUUGUCAAUGUUUGUUUAAUUUAACCUGAAGGGGCAUUAAAAACAAAUAAUCGCAAAAGUGCCCUCUGGUGGCGUAUAUAUGCGUUGCACCAUAAGCGAAGAUGAGCCUCGUGAUGUGACAGUUUUUUUUUCAAACUGAGGUGAGGAGUUCGGCUCCGGACCGGCAUUUCUGCUUGUUUGUACCCUCCCUGAGAAAACCAUGGUUAAUAAAUUGUCAGACACGUCACUGGCUUUAAAAUAUAAACCCCAUUGAUGCAAAAAGAUGCUGCAUGGAAUGACAAUGUGGUUUGGAACAGACUUGGUGAAGAACAUGGAAACAUCUCUAAAUAAAAUGGCCCCAAACAUCAUCAGGAGUGCAAAAGAAGGAAGUAAAAAACAUCUCUACGCCAAUCUCAUUGGAGAGGAAACCACAGAAGGUCUGGUGAGGAAUGCUGCACUUAUGUUAUUGCAAGCAUUAUUUCAAGAAAAUCCCAGCUUCCUUUAUCAACUUUAUAAUGGACAAUGUGAACUAAAUAUGUGGAAGACAUUGACAUCACAGGCUGUGGAAUGACUGUGUCACAGGUCGGAGAAGCGGACCGCCCCUGUCGCGGAUCACGCUCCUCCUAGUUCCACCUCGAGGAGGUCCCAAAGCACCCCAAUGACCAGACAAACCAGAGAUAAGUAAAAUAUAGAAAUAGAAACUUUA